AAGCUUGCUUUUCUUGAGAGCGGCGGACGGGUGAGAUAAUGCCUANGAAUCUGCCUGGUAGUGGGGGAUAACGUUCGGAAACGGACGCUAAUACCGCAUACGUCCUACGGGAGAAAGCAGGGGACCUUCGGGCCUUGCGCUAUCAGAUGAGCCUAGGUCGGAUUAGCUAGUUGGUGAGGUAAUGGCUCACCAAGGCGACGAUCCGUAACUGGUCUGAGAGGAUGAUCAGUCACACUGGAACUGAGACACGGUCCAGACUCCUACGGGAGGCAGCAGUGGGGAAUAUUGGACAAUGGGCGAAAGCCUGAUCCAGCCAUGCCGCGUGUGUGAAGAAGGUCUUCGGAUUGUAAAGCACUUUAAGUUGGGAGGAAGGGCANUAAAUUAAUACUUUGCUGUUUUGACGUUACCGACAGAAUAAGCACCGGCUAACUCUGUGC
This 437-nucleotide ribosomal RNA is filed under the name uncultured bacterium. RNAcentral's name for it is "bacterial SSU rRNA". It matches the Rfam family "Bacterial small subunit ribosomal RNA", at positions 76 to 508 of the family's 1533-position model. The record is from RNAcentral.